This 27-nucleotide small RNA is filed under the name Bombyx mori (domestic silkworm). RNAcentral's name for it is "ovarian small RNA-37499". Lineage: Eukaryota; Metazoa; Arthropoda; Insecta; Lepidoptera; Bombycidae. The record is from RNAcentral.
UUCUCCUGGAGAUGCGAGGGCCUCCAC